GAUGAACGCUAGCGGGAGGCGUAACACAUGCAAGCCGAGCGGUAUUGUUUCUUCGGAAAUGAGAGAGCGGCGUACGGGUGCGGAACACGUGUGCAACCUGCCUUUAUCUGGGGGAUAGCCUUUCGAAAGGAAGAUUAAUACUCCAUAAUAUAUUGAUUGGCAUCAAUUAAUAUUGAAAGCUCCGGCGGAUAGAGAUGGGCACGCGCAAGAUUAGCUAGUUGGUGAGGUAACGGCUCACCAAGGCGAUGAUCUUUAGGGGGCCUGAGAGGGUGAUCCCCCACACUGGUACUGAGACACGGACCAGACUCCUACGGGAGGCAGCAGUGAGGAAUAUUGGUCAAUGGGUGCAAGCCUGAACCAGCCAUCCCGCGUGAAGGACGACUGCCCUAUGGGUUGUAAACUUCUUUUGUAUAGGGAUAAACCUACCCUCGUGAGGGUAGCUGAAGGUACUAUACGAAUAAGCACCGGCUAACUCCGUGCCAGCAGCCGCGGUAAUACGGAGGGUGCAAGCGUUAUCCGGAUUUAUUGGGUUUAAAGGGUCCGUAGGCGGACUUAUAAGUCAGUGGUGAAAGCCUGUCGCUUAACGAUAGAACUGCCAUUGAUACUGUAAGUCUUGAGUAUAUUUGAGGUAGCUGGAAUAAGUAGUGUAGCGGUGAAAUGCAUAGAUAUUACUUAGAACACCAAUUGCGAAGGCAGGUUACCAAGAUAUAACUGACGCUGAGGGACGAAAGCGUGGGGAGCGAACAGG
RNAcentral lists this ribosomal RNA (748 nucleotides) under uncultured bacterium. RNAcentral describes it as "bacterial SSU rRNA". It matches the Rfam family "Bacterial small subunit ribosomal RNA", at positions 28 to 776 of the family's 1533-position model. The record is from RNAcentral.